Molecule: unclassified non-coding RNA, 1112 nt
Filed under: Zea mays
Lineage: Eukaryota; Viridiplantae; Streptophyta; Magnoliopsida; Poales; Poaceae
Description: misc RNA Zm00001eb335750
Source: RNAcentral
CCAGAAUCCAAUCAAAAUGUCACAUGAAUGGAGCACAUGUAAUUCACACAUUUUCAUCAAUACAAAAUCACCACAGCCUUCAUGCUACAUGGCAGCAGCAGCUAGGACUUCAUAUUAUGAUUUCUUGAUGUGGCAGCACUACCGCCGAUGGCCGGCCGCCUCGGCUUCCUUCCCUGGCGCGGCAAAAAGCAAGUGACAGAUCCUCUCGCAUGGGUGCAUUAAAGAAGAUGACGCAGUAUUGGAUUCCCACAGGGAUCUUCCAAAGAGGGAUCCAUGGCCGGUUGGGACCACAGGCGGGAGCCAGGCGCGUGGACCUUGGACCGGGAGUGAAGAAGAGAUUGGGGAGAAUGUGGGUUCCCAAGGUGAAUUUGAACACCUGCAACUUUACACCUUUGGCGCCUUCCCCAGACUGUUGUGGGGCUCCUCCUUCUCCUGUUGCUCAAAGGGAGGAGGCCACUGAUGUUGCUCUAGGUCCCCAGGUUACACUUAUCCCCCUGGAGGAUCUGCCUACAGUUGUGGCUACUGAGAAUCUGGUUGAUCUUGAAGAGGGUGAUGGGAGGAUUUCUCCCUGCAGCCCAGUUGAGGAAUCUGAAAGUAGGUUGGCACCUUUGAACCCUGUGGUGAGAGCACACUCUGCUGGCUGUGACCUUCCAUCCAUAGCCGCAAAUACGGGUCUGAGAGUGUAUGCUAGGAGGAGACUUGAGUGCAAGAAGGCAGACAUGUUGCAGGACCAUUAUGAUAAUGUACCCCAUGAGGAUCCGUCGACUGUUUCCCCAACAUUGAUGGCCUUUGAAGUUAAUGUGCUUUCACCCCCACAUCCUAAUUCUGAGAAUUUGGUCCUGAAUGCCAGUGUAAAUGAGGUGGAACAGCCCGGUGAUGUUGUUGAACUGCCAAGUUUUGAUCAUUUGUCGAUGACACCACCACCUUUGCAAGGCUGCUCCCCCACUCCUUGUCUUGUGUACUCAAGAAUGAGGCUCAAAAAGAAGCUGCUGUCAGAUGACAAUGAAGAAGGGGUGAAUGUUGCUUCAAAUGAGAGUGAUGAAGGUAUGGGUCAUGGUUCCCAGGUCCUUCCAGUUUGCAGCAGAGUUGUUGUCCCUCCUGUUCCUCAUUUG